ACGCCCGGCGCCUCGAAGGCACUUGGCCUGUGCCGUGCGGCCGGGGCUCGCGCCACCCUGGAGCGGCCGUCGCCUCCCCUCCCGGCACCGCCCGCCGCUGGGCGCUGGCGCCGGGCCCUCGGGGUGUCGGGCUCGCAGCCGCGGGGCAGGCGCCGCUUCCGCCCUCACUCGGUGGAGGCGGAGGCCGCAGGGCCGGGCGGCGGGGGCCGCGGCGGGGGCCGGAGAGCAGGGCCCGCAGCUGGGGGGCGCAGCCGGUGCCGCGCACGCGCCCUCGGCGACGCGGCGAGGCUGCCACCAGCCAGACGAGUGCGGCCGCACGACGGCGGGGGCGAGAGGGGGGGUCGUGCGGGGAGGCUCCCGGAAGGGGGCGUGUCUGGAGGUUCCCGCCGUUUAGGGCGACGCGCCGGAUUCGUCGGAACAGCGCGGGAACGGCCUGGAGGUCCCGUGGCGGCCGGCGCCACGUGCGGUGCCGAGCUCAGGACGCGAGAGGCGGUCGGCAGCUGGGAGCGGCCCCGGCCUAGCCUUCCGGCCUGGGCACCUGCGCCCCGCCCGCCCCCUGCCCAGCCCGGCGCGCCCCUUGCAGCCGUCCCUGUGCCCAGGUACCCACCCCCCAGCCCCGCGCACCCCUUGCGUCAUCCCCGUGCCCAGGUCCCCCCCAGAGCCCGGCGCGCCCCUUCUGCCAUCCCCGUGCCCAGAUCCCCAGAUCCCCCCCCCCCCGAGCCCGGCGCGCCUCUUGCGCUGUCCCUGUGCCCAGGUCCCCUCCAAGCCCGGCGCGCCCCUUACGCUAUCUCCGUGCCCGGGUACCACCCCGGAGCCCAGCGCGCCCCUUGCGCCGUCCCCGUGCCCAGGUCCCCUCCAAGCCCGGCGCGCCCCUUCCGCCAUCUCCGUGCCCAGGUCCCCCCCCGGAGCCCAGCGCGCCCCUUGCGCCGUCCCCGUGCCCAGAUCCGCCCCCCCAAGCCCGGCGCGCCCCUUUCGCCGUCCCCGUGCCCAGGUCCCUCCCUCCCCCCCCCCCCCCCCCCCCGAGCCCAGCCCAGCGCGCCCCUAACGCGGUCCCCGUGCCCGGCGCGCCCCUUCCGCUGUCCACGCGUCCAGGUGCAGACGGACGCUUCCUGUGCCGCGUGUUCGCUUUAG
This 1131-nucleotide long non-coding RNA is filed under the name Canis lupus familiaris (dog). RNAcentral's name for it is "lncRNA (ENSCAFG00030011158.1)". The record is from RNAcentral. Lineage: Eukaryota; Metazoa; Chordata; Mammalia; Carnivora; Canidae.